GACGAACGUUGGCGGCGUGCUUAACACAUGCAAGUCGAACGGAAAGGCCCUGCUUUUGUGGGGUGCUCGAGUGGCGAACGGGUGAGUAACACGUGAGUAACCUGCCCUUGACUUUGGGAUAACUUCAGGAAACUGGGGCUAAUACCGGAUAGGAGCUCCUGCUGCAUGGUGGGGGUUGGAAAGUUUCGGCGGUUGGGGAUGGACUCGCGGCUUAUCAGCUUGUUGGUGGGGUAGUGGCUUACCAAGGCUUUGACGGGUAGCCGGCCUGAGAGGGUGACCGGCCACAUUGGGACUGAGAUACGGCCCAGACUCCUACGGGAGGCAGCAGUGGGGAAUAUUGCACAAUGGGCGGAAGCCUGAUGCAGCAACGCCGCGUGCGGGAUGACGGCCUUCGGGUUGUAAACCGCUUUCGCCUGUGACGAAGCGUGAGUGACGGUAAUGGGUAAAGAAGCACCGGCUAACUACGUGCCAGCAGCCGCGGUGAUACGUAGGGUGCGAGCGUUGUCCGGAUUUAUUGGGCGUAAAGGGCUCGUAGGUGGUUGAUCGCGUCGGAAGUGUAAUCUUGGGGCUUAACCCUGAGCGUGCUUUCGAUACGGGUUGACUUGAGGAAGGUAGGGGAGAAUGGAAUUCCUGGUGGAGCGGUGGAAUGCGCAGAUAUCAGGAGGAACACCAGUGGCGAAGGCGGUUCUCUGGGCCUUUCCUGACGCUGAGGAGCGAAAGCGUGGGGAGCGAACAGGCUUAGAUACCCUGGUAGUCCACGCUGUAAACGGUGGGUACUAGGUGUGGGGUCCAUUCCACGGGUUCCGUGCCGUAGCUAACGCUUUAAGUACCCCGCCUGGGGAGUACGGCCGCAAGGCUAAAACUCAAAGGAAUUGACGGGGCCCCGCACAAGCGGCGGAGCAUGCGGAUUAAUUCGAUGCAACGCGUAGAACCUUACCUGGGUUUGACAUGGAUCGGGAGCGCUCAGAGAUGGGUGUGCCUCUUUUGGGGUCGGUUCACAGGUGGUGCAUGGCUGUCGUCAGCUCGUGUCGUGAGAUGUUGGGUUAAGUCCCGCAACGAGCGCAGCCCUUGUUCACUGUUGCCAGCACGUUAUGGUGGGGACUCAGUGGAGACCGCCGGGGUCAACUCGGAGGAAGGUGGGGAUGACGUCAAGUCAUCAUGCCCCUUAUGUCCAGGGCUUCACGCAUGCUACAAUGGCUGGUACAGAGAGUGGCGAGCCUGUGAGGGUGAGCGAAUCUCGGAAAGCCGGUCUCAGUUCGGAUUGGGGUCUGCAACUCGACCUCAUGAAGUCGGAGUCGCUAGUAAUCGCAGAUCAGCAACGCUGCGGUGAAUACGUUCCCGGG
Molecule: ribosomal RNA, 1343 nt
Filed under: uncultured bacterium
Lineage: Bacteria
Description: 16S ribosomal RNA
Rfam family: Bacterial small subunit ribosomal RNA
Source: RNAcentral